GCAAUGGCAACAGCUUCUACACAGUGGGUGAUGUCUCAUCUCGCCCAAGAGCCCUCUAGGUAUAUCCCUAAUUACUCUCUCUGAGACCCUGCUGGAGUGAGUGAGCAGUAGACCAAAGACUCUGAAAAAAAAAAAAAAAAAGGAAAGAAAGCAGAAAGAGUAAGAGAAAAUAAGAAAAAUAAGGAGGUCAAGAGAUAGAUCAGAAUCUGGAGAGAGAAGGUGAACGAGAGAGCUGGAACAAGUGGACAAGAGUGAUAGAGAACAAGAGAAUGAGACUUUAUAUAUAGGAGGAAUAAAAGGCCUAAA
Molecule: long non-coding RNA, 306 nt
Filed under: Homo sapiens (human)
Lineage: Eukaryota; Metazoa; Chordata; Mammalia; Primates; Hominidae
Description: HSALNT0119417
Source: RNAcentral